CCUUAUUAAAAUAUUGCCAUCCUAAUCUAAUGGAAAUUCCCAUGCAAACAUACAACCAAUUAAUGACAAUAAAAUAUAAAAGAUAAUUAAGAAAAUCUUUUACUUCUUGAAAAAUCAUACGCACACACAAUGACUAUUGGAUAGUUUUGAUGCACAUAAACUCUUUUUGAUUAAUAAAAUAGUUUCCUAUAUAAAAGAAACAAUUAAUGACAAAUUAAAGAAUUUAAGUAAACAAGGAGACUUCCCUUUUGUGUUUCACGGUACACAUGACUUGUUGCACAAGUCUUUACUCAUCCCUUGUUUAUUAGAAUCCAA
This 315-nucleotide long non-coding RNA is filed under the name Erythranthe guttata (spotted monkey flower). RNAcentral describes it as "long non-coding RNA (EGUT_LNC003339)". Lineage: Eukaryota; Viridiplantae; Streptophyta; Magnoliopsida; Lamiales; Phrymaceae. The record is from RNAcentral.